Molecule: ribosomal RNA, 373 nt
Filed under: uncultured eukaryote
Lineage: Eukaryota
Description: SSU rRNA
Rfam family: Eukaryotic small subunit ribosomal RNA
Source: RNAcentral
AGCUCCAAUAGCGUAUAUUAAAGUUGUUGCAGUUAAAAAGCUCGUAGUUGGAUUUGUGGCGUCACAUGGGACCUAAUUAUAGUGUACCAUGAUGAGGCCAUCAUUGGGUGGAACCUGUGUGGCAUUAGGUUGUCGUAUAGGGAAUGCCCAUCGUUUACUGUGAAAAAAUUAGAGUGUUCAAAGCAGGCUUAUGCCGUUGAAUAUAUUAGCAUGGAAUAAUGAGAUAGGACCUCGGUACUAUUUUGUUGGUUUGCGCACCGAGGUAAUGAUUAAUAGGGACAGUUGGGGGUAUUCGUAUUCCAUUGUCAGAGGUGAAAUUCUUGGAUUUCUGGAAGACGAACUACUGCGAAAGCAUUUACCAAGGAUGUUUUCA